Molecule: ribosomal RNA, 459 nt
Filed under: uncultured bacterium
Lineage: Bacteria
Description: partial 16S ribosomal RNA
Rfam family: Bacterial small subunit ribosomal RNA
Source: RNAcentral
CCUACGGGUGGCUGCAGUGAGGAAUAUUGGUCAAUGGGCGGGAGCCUGAACCAGCCAAGCCGCGUGAGGGAAGAAGGUACAGCGUAUCGUAAACCUCUUUUGUCAGGGAACAAACGCGGUGACUAGUCCCCGGUUGAGGGUACCUGAUGAAAAAGCAUCGGCUAAUUCCGUGCCAGCAGCCGCGGUAAUACGGAGGAUCCGAGCGUUAUCCGGAUUUAUUGGGUUUAAAGGGUGCGCAGGCGGCCUGUUAAGUCAGCGGUAAAAGCCCGGGGCUCAACCCGGGCGAGCCGUUGAAACUGGCGGGCUGGAGUUGGAGAGAGGUACGCGGAAUGCGCGGUGUAGCGGUGAAAUGCUGAGAUAUCGCGCAGAACCCCGAUUGCGAAGGCAGCGUACCGGCUCCACACUGACGCUGAGGCACGAAGGCGUGGGUAUCGAACAGGAUUAGAUACCCGUGUAGUC